This 253-nucleotide ribosomal RNA is filed under the name uncultured bacterium. RNAcentral describes it as "partial 16S ribosomal RNA". It matches the Rfam family "Bacterial small subunit ribosomal RNA", at positions 524 to 776 of the family's 1533-position model. The record is from RNAcentral.
UACGAAGGGGGCUAGCGUUGCUCGGAAUCACUGGGCGUAAAGCGCACGUAGGCGGCUUUUUAAGUCAGAGGUGAAAUCCUGGAGCUCAACUCCAGAACUGCCUUUGAUACUGAGAGGCUUGAGUCCGGGAGAGGUGAGUGGAACUGCGAGUGUAGAGGUGAAAUUCGUAGAUAUUCGCAAGAACACCAGUGGCGAAGGCGGCUCACUGGCCCGGUACUGACGCUGAGGUGCGAAAGCGUGGGGAGCAAACAGG